This is a long non-coding RNA of Amphiprion ocellaris (clown anemonefish), 856 nucleotides long. RefSeq lists it as uncharacterized. The transcript has 2 exons. NCBI's taxonomy places the organism in Eukaryota, Metazoa, Chordata, Actinopteri, Pomacentridae. The record is from RefSeq and is a predicted model, not a curated record.
UAAUUUCCCGUUCUCCGUGGCGCGGCUCGGUUCGGAUCAAUCAGCAGAAAGACGUUCAUUAAACGGUAACUAACGGGACUCUGAGCUAACGGACCCGGUUGUACCGUCAAGUACCUUAAUGAGGAGUCGAUGUUACAGCGGAGAGACGACGGUCAGCUCCGGUAACGGACACCGACGGAAGGAGAACUCCAUUAGCCUCCAGUUUAGUACGUGUGUUACAAGCUGCAACACACCAGCGGCCAGGCUCUGAGGAGGCUUUGAGGGAACAGCUGGAUCUGAAGGCAGCUGCAGGGUUCAGUUCUGAGAACACUCUGGAGCCUCCAACCAGCAGAACAGAGGACUAGAACCAGCCCUGGACACAGAUCAGUGCUGAGCUGCAAGUUCUGCAGCUGCUGAGACACAAACUCUCCCCGACCCGCUGCCUGGGUCUGGACUCUGGACGGGUUUCUGUGUGAGUCUGAGCCGAGGAGGAGUCUGGGAUUUGUAUGCAGAGCAGCUGAGACAAAGAGACAAAGAGACAGAGAGACCAUCCUCCUGCCUGCUGAACAAACAGACAAACAGAGGAUCAGACCCAGCAGAACCUGGUUCUCCAGCUGUUUGUUCUGCUUCAACUUUUUUUAAUUCACCUUUAUGUCCUCACUGUGAAUCUAAAUGGCACUAAUUUACCCACAAACAGCUUUACAGAAUCACAUCAGUUCAUUUUACUCACUUCUCCUGCUCUAAAUGCUUCUAAACAUUUAAAUACAAUAAUAUAUAUUUGUUUAUAAAUGAAAAUAAGAGAGAAGAAAUAAAGAGUUUGAUGGAAAUCAGUCAAUUUAUGUUGUUCAUGAAAAGAGAAAAUAAAGAGCAGCUUCUA